GUUUGACAUUGUCAUAUCUGACGUUCAUAGGUUGCAAGGUCGUCAUAUCCCACGUUACGACAAGUUGAGAAGGUAAUAUGACCAUUUACGACUAAACAAUCUAAAGGAGCUUACCAUUUAACCACCUCUCCAUCGUGGGAGUAAACACAAUGUAUAAUGCAUCAACUCCUUUAAGAUUUACUACCCCCCUCUCCCCCAUCAUUCCCUUUCUCUCUCCCUCUCAGUUUCUCUCUAAACACAAUAUUAUUUCUCAUGUCGGAACCUGGUCUUGAGGAGAUUAUUUCUCUUUCAUGACAAUUCUAAUGGUGCUUUCUUAUGCACAUAACAGAGGAAGAUGACGUGGAUUCGACAAACUCAUCCUAAAGCAAUGCUAAUACGAUCUUAUACAAGCUAGUUAGAUCUUUCUACAUGAGUUCCGACUAUGAAUGUGCCGCCCCAUUACAACGAUGUGCUAUAAUGAUGCGUCUAACUUAG
RNAcentral lists this long non-coding RNA (474 nucleotides) under Helianthus annuus (common sunflower). RNAcentral's name for it is "hypothetical non coding rna". Lineage: Eukaryota; Viridiplantae; Streptophyta; Magnoliopsida; Asterales; Asteraceae. The record is from RNAcentral.